This 593-nucleotide long non-coding RNA is filed under the name Monodelphis domestica (gray short-tailed opossum). Its description in RNAcentral is "lncRNA (ENSMODG00000044130.1)". The record is from RNAcentral. Lineage: Eukaryota; Metazoa; Chordata; Mammalia; Didelphimorphia; Didelphidae.
UAAAAAAAGAUGAAUACCUUCAAAAAUAUAAAAUACCUAGAAUAACUGUUUUUUUUUCUUUCUAGUAGGUUUUGAAAGAGUGUAGAAACAUUCCUUCCUGGAUAAUGUUACAUUUCUCCAAAUUGUUUCCCUUCUACUACACCUCUACCCACUGAGAAGAUGGAGAUUAGAGGAUUGCUAUAGGCCACUUCCACCAUUGCACUCAUCCUUCAGAUACUCAUGGAGACAGUUUCCAGUCAUAAUCAUUUGUGCUAUUUUGGGGAAGGACCUGGGUGUGAGACUUGUUCAGCUUCAUAUAAAGUCCUCCUUGGCUGUGCCUUGAGCUACCUGAGGUCUUGGGCAUAGAGGAAACAAAGGGUUCGACUAUGAUGACUGUCAGAAAAUGCAAAAGGUGAUCCUUGUGGAACAAACUCUUUGCCUAUUUAAAGGAUGAAGUUGGUGAUCAAUGACACAUGUAAACCCAGUGGAAUUGCACAUCAGUUGUGAGAGGGGGUUGGAGGGAGGGAAGGGAAAGAGCAUGAAUCUUGUAACCAAAAUUACUCUAAAUUGUCUAAUUAAAUAAAAUUUAAAAAAAAUAAAGGAUGAAGUUGGCC